This is a long non-coding RNA of Peromyscus maniculatus bairdii (prairie deer mouse), 1594 nucleotides long. RefSeq lists it as uncharacterized. The record is from RefSeq and is a predicted model, not a curated record. Lineage: Eukaryota; Metazoa; Chordata; Mammalia; Rodentia; Cricetidae.
GAAGGGUACAAGGUCAGCUGCACUGACUCACCCAGGAAGGUGAGAGGGCAAUGACCAAAUAUGAAGCCGAGCUGCCUGUCAGGGAAGCCCUUAGAAGAACAGGAAGUGGGAUCAGCUGCUUUGUCUCUCCAAAGGACCUGGACACAUGCUUGCAGUUGCCCAGCUAGGGAUUCUGCCAAGGAGGAAUAACUGGUAUUGUAUGAAUUGCCUGGAAUCAAAACACAAAGAGUGAAGCUUCUCUUGGGAGAACCUCAAUCUCAUUGUCACCUGCCAUCUUGGAAGGGGUUGCUCACAAUCGUGGUAUGCAGCUACGGGAAUGAAGACAGGUUAAGAGGGAUAUGAGAUGUGAAGAGGCACCCAAGGAGGUCUGGGUGUAGGCUCACAGACUGAAGUGUACACCCAGGGACAUUCAACAACAUUCCAAGAUGAUGUCACCAGGGAGAGCUCCGUUAAGUUGCCAUUGAAGAAGUCCUCUCAUCCAUUUCCCAAAACUCAGAGUUGAAAGCACACAUGUUACAUGAGUAUAAAGAAACUGUUCAAAACUAAGAGAGCGUGUCACAGCAGUGGGAUACCUGCACUUGGACUAUCAUACCUUUGGAAUGUGCGACCCUCAUUCUCCUGCAAGAAGACAUUGGAUUUUCUGGAAAAGGAUGUUGGAGUCUUUUCUCUGUACCCUAGAAUUAUUAUGGAGGGAGAGGUGCCUCAGUCCCAUAAAUUCUUCCUCUCCUGUUCCUUGAGCAUGUUGUUGUUUUACCUCUGAACUGUGUGGGGUGAUGUGGGCUGGGGCUUAGGAAUGAUACUGCUGUAAUGGAAAAGGAAUCCGAAGAGCACUGUGGCACCGCAUGGACAGGGUUGAGACCUGCGAACCAUCCAUUAGAAUAUCCAUUCCCAUUUUUAGGCUGCCUUAAAAGACAAUGCCCUGUCUUCAUAGCCUGACCUUGAAUCUAUUACACAGUUGGAUUCCGAUUUCUCUUUCCUAAAUCUCAAAACAGAUCAUUUCCCUACUGCAUGCAUUUUCCCAACCCUCACCAUAUGAGGCAGAUGCUAUGAUGAGAAAUCUGAUACUCAAAAGUCGAAAUUUUGCUGAGUAGACCCAACCUAUUCAUAUAUGGAGGCAAAAGUUAAAUUUAAUCUGUCUCCUGGGUUCCAAAGUCAGUGAUUCCCCCCACCAACAGCAUGUUGCUACUGACUACCCCUCAAAACAAGAAAUAGGUAAUCUUAUGUGGUGUUUUGAAUGAGAAAUGUCCUCCAGAAUCUCAUGUAUUUGACAAUUUAGUCCCCGUUUAGUGGCGCUCUUGAAGGAAAUUGUAGAACCUUUACGAGGUGGAGCCCUCCUGGAGGAAAUAUGUCACUGGGGGUAGGGUUAAAGACUUCAUAGCCUGGGCCCACCUCUCUCUCUCUCUGCUUCUUGUUUGCUGUUGAAGAUGGGAUCUUUCAGAUCCCAGCUCCUGCCACCUGCUGCCAUUUCAGAAGCUCCCUUUGAUCCAGAAGCCAAAAUAAACUCUUUCUUCCGCAAGUCAUUGUUGGGCACGGUGUUUUAUCACAGGAACAGAAAUGAACUCAUGCAUCUUGCAAAGGUGUUUCUCGAUCCUGU